AUUGUCUUCUCCGUCAAAGCCGCAAGGUGAGCAGCGGCAGCGGCAGCGUCGGAGAGAAUGAGCGGAGACGCAGGAGGGAGAAGCUCGGGAUCUGCCAACACUGUCUUCCUCUUCCUCUUCCUCUUCAUCUUCCUCUGUCUUCUCCGUCUCAGCGGAGAGAAGCUCGGGCCACCGCCGUCAGCCUUUUCCUCUGUCUCCUCUGGUGGUCCGCCUUGCCACUAGCGCUGCUACACGUUCUCCUCCAUCUUCCACCUUGCCACCUGCGCUGCUCCGCCAUCUCUG
RNAcentral lists this long non-coding RNA (282 nucleotides) under Brassica napus (rape). RNAcentral's name for it is "long non-coding RNA (BNAP_LNC014951)". The record is from RNAcentral. Lineage: Eukaryota; Viridiplantae; Streptophyta; Magnoliopsida; Brassicales; Brassicaceae.